CCUACGGGUGGCAGCAGUGGGGAAUAUUGCACAAUGGGGGAAACCCUGAUGCAGCGACGCCGCGUGAGCGAUGAAGUAUCUCGGUAUGUAAAGCUCUAUUUGCAGGGAAGAAAAUGACGGUACCUGUCUAAGAAUCCCCGGCUAACUACGUGCCAGCAGCCGCGGCAAUACGUAGGGGGCAAGCGUUAUCCGGAUGUACUGGGUGUAAAGGGGGCGUAGACGGCUGUGCAAGCCAGAUGUGAAAGCCCGGGGCUCAACCCCGGGACUGCAGUUGAAACUGGGUGGCUGGAGUGUCGGAGAGGCAGGCGGAAUGCGUAGUGUAGCGGUGAAAUGCGUAGAUAUUAGGAGGAACACCAGUGGCGAAGGCGGCCUGCUGGACGAUGACUGACGUUGAGGCUCGAAAGCGUGGGGAGCAAACAGGAUUAGAUACCCUAGUAGUC
RNAcentral lists this ribosomal RNA (440 nucleotides) under uncultured bacterium. RNAcentral describes it as "partial 16S ribosomal RNA". It matches the Rfam family "Bacterial small subunit ribosomal RNA", at positions 338 to 795 of the family's 1533-position model. The record is from RNAcentral.